RNAcentral lists this ribosomal RNA (497 nucleotides) under uncultured bacterium. RNAcentral's name for it is "partial 16S ribosomal RNA". It matches the Rfam family "Bacterial small subunit ribosomal RNA", at positions 28 to 507 of the family's 1533-position model. The record is from RNAcentral.
GAUGAACGCUGGCGGCGUGCCUAAUACAUGCAAGUCGAGCGAACGGACGAGAAGCUUGCUCCUCUGAUGUUAGCGGCGGACGGGUGAGUAACACGUGGAUAACCUACCUAUAAGACUGGGAUAACUUCGGGAAACCGGAGCUAAUACCGGAUGAUAUUUUGAACCGCAUGGUUCAAAAGUGAAAGACGGUCUUGCUGUCACUUAUAGAUGGAUCCGCGCCGCAUUAGCUAGUUGGUAAGGUAACGGCUUACCAAGGCAACGAUGCAUAGCCGACCUGAGAGGGUGAUCGGCCACACUGGAACUGAGACACGGUCCAGACUCCUACGGGAGGCAGCAGUAGGGAAUCUUCCGCAAUGGGCGAAAGCCUGACGGAGCAACGCCGCGUGAGUGAUGAAGGUCUUCGGAUCGUAAAACUCUGUUAUUAGGGAAGAACAAAUGUGUAAGUAACUAUGCACGUCUUGACGGUACCCAAUCAGAAAGCCACGGCUAACUACGUG